This is a long non-coding RNA of Neomonachus schauinslandi (Hawaiian monk seal), 888 nucleotides long. RefSeq lists it as uncharacterized. Lineage: Eukaryota; Metazoa; Chordata; Mammalia; Carnivora; Phocidae. The record is from RefSeq and is a predicted model, not a curated record. The transcript has 4 exons.
CUCUCUAAAGCUCAUGAAUUAGAAUGCCAGAGGACACGUGAACGUGGGCAAACACUUUUUAAUUAUCCUGAUCAAGUGCGGGGUACAUCUUUUUGCUGACCCCACUUGUAAUCAACUGUGAUCUCCUAGAAGCAGGUGAAUUGAUUGCUUCUAUCCUUCCCAACUAGCCAGAAGAGUGGGUCAUACAUUAUCCUGCCCCUUUGAAAAAUCCAGCUCCGUGAUUGAUUUCAUGACUGUCUGUAGCAGCAAAUUCCUCAGAAUGAAUUCUACCAGGCAAAGAAGCUUGCUGGUGUAGAGAGAUCUCUCUAAAUGCUCCUCAUACAACUCAGAGAGACCAUAGAAGACACUGUUUCAGGACCGAUGGGCUGAACGGUUUUAAAACCUGGCUGUGGCCAUUCAUUUGGACGACUCCAGCAGACCCACCUGUCCUACAGUUCAACUUCUCAAACCUACCCUGUUUGUAAUUCCUCAGCAGGAUUCUGAGCUCUGCUGGGCAUAUUUCAGUUUUACAGUUAAUCAGAAAGAUUUUGUCCCAAAUUUGCCCUAAGUGUGGGCCUUUAUUAAUGCGAUACGCCUCACAUUAGUGAGUGCCUGCUUUUGAGCCAUAUGCCCUGAAUAAGUUAUCAGGUUUCAUUGUUUACCCUUGGUUAAAAAAAAAAAAUUCCAUACACUCUGACCUCAUGACACCUAAACCCUGCCCGUGCAGUUGAAACAGGAAAACUAGUCAUCUGAUAUCAUGAAGGCAAGUCAGCUGGUAGAUGUGCUCAAAUGUUUCCGUUUCCACCAGUGUGUGGGCAUUGUGGGGAGCCAUAGAUUAUUAAUCAGGAAUGUGCAGGAUUUCUUGUUUGUGUGUUUGUUAAUUUCCAAAAUAAACCCAAUACAAAGAGA